Molecule: unclassified non-coding RNA, 21 nt
Filed under: Chlamydomonas reinhardtii
Lineage: Eukaryota; Viridiplantae; Chlorophyta; Chlorophyceae; Chlamydomonadales; Chlamydomonadaceae
Description: small RNA Cre_1685
Source: RNAcentral
GCAUUACCAAUCAUAUGGGGA